GUACACGCUGUGACUAGCAUAUCAAUAAGCGGAGGAAAAGAAAACUAACAAGGAUUCCCCUAGUAACGGCGAGUGAAGCGGGAAGAGCUCAAAUUUGAAAUCUUAAAGGGUUUCCCUUUACGAAUUGUAGUUUAAAGAAGUGUUUUCUGUUGAGGUUUUGGUAAAAGUUCUUUGGAAUAGGACAUCAUAGAGGGUGAGAAUCCCGUAUUUGACCUUUACUUUCAACUUUGUGAUACACUUUCAAAGAGUCGGAUUGUUUGGGAAUGCAGGUCCAAAAUGGGUGGUAAAUUUCAUCUAAAGCUAAAUAUUGGCGAGAGACCGAUAGCGAACAAGUACCGUGAGGGAAAGACUGAAAAGAACUUUGAAAAGAGAGUUAAACAGUACGUGAAAUUGUCAAAAGGGAAGCGUUUGACACCAGUGUUGUUUUUCUGAAAAUCAAUUAAAGAACUGUUUAUGCUAAGCUUGUUUAGACUUUAUUAGCUAACUGUUUAGUUUUGAGCCUUUUCUUUAAUGCACUUUUCAGUUAACAAGUCAACAUCAAUUUCUUUUGCUGUAAAAAAGCUUGAGGAAGGUGGCUUGAGAUUCGUCUUAAGUGUUUAUAGCCUCUUGCCUAUGCAGUCGGAGAGAUUGAGGUCUGCAGCGUAGAUCCUUCGGGGCUAAAUGCAUUUGUGCUAAGUUAUAGCAUUUUAUAGACAACUUGUUGACUAUGAUUUGUCUUGUAGCUUACUCGCUUAUGUUAUUUUACCUACGCUUAGGAUGUUGAGUCGUAGAGCACGCAG
This 779-nucleotide ribosomal RNA is filed under the name uncultured Neocallimastigales. Its description in RNAcentral is "partial large subunit ribosomal RNA". It matches the Rfam family "Eukaryotic large subunit ribosomal RNA", at positions 22 to 628 of the family's 3401-position model. The record is from RNAcentral. Lineage: Eukaryota; Fungi; Neocallimastigomycota; Neocallimastigomycetes; Neocallimastigales.